AGUGAACGCUGGCGGUAGGCCUAACACAUGCAAGUCGAACGGCAGCACAGUAAGAGCUUGCUCUUACGGGUGGCGAGUGGCGGACGGGUGAGGAAUACAUCGGAAUCUACUUUUUCGUGGGGGAUAACGUAGGGAAACUUACGCUAAUACCGCAUGCGACCUACGGGUGAAAGCAGGGGAUCUUCGGACCUUGCGCGAUUGAAUGAGCCGAUGUCGGAUUAGCUAGUUGGCGGGGUAAAGGCCCACCAAGGCGACGAUCCGUAGCUGGUCUGAGAGGAUGAUCAGCCACACUGGAACUGAGACACGGUCCAGACUCCUACGGGAGGCAGCAGUGGGGAUUAUUGGACAAUGGGCGCAAGCCUGAUCCAGCCAUACCGCGUGGGUGGAGAAGGCCUUCGGGUUGUAAAGCCCUUUUGUUGGGAAAGAAAAGCAGCAGGUUAAUACCCCGCUGUUCUGACGGUACCCAAAGAAUAAGCACCGGCUAACUUCGUG
Molecule: ribosomal RNA, 492 nt
Filed under: uncultured bacterium
Lineage: Bacteria
Description: partial 16S ribosomal RNA
Rfam family: Bacterial small subunit ribosomal RNA
Source: RNAcentral